Molecule: long non-coding RNA, 937 nt
Organism: Oncorhynchus tshawytscha (Chinook salmon)
Lineage: Eukaryota; Metazoa; Chordata; Actinopteri; Salmoniformes; Salmonidae
Source: Ensembl
GAGAGAGGAAGAGGAGGUUAGAGAGAGAGAGGAAGAGGAGGUCAGAGAGAGAGAGAGAGGAAGAGAAAUGCGGAGGAGGUCAGAGAGAGAGAGAGAGAGGAGGAAGGAGGUCAAAGAGAGAGAGGAAGGAAGAGGAGGUCAAAGAGAGAGAGGAAGAGGAGGUCAAAGAGAGAGAGAGAGGAAGAGGAGGUCAGAGAGAGAGAGAGAGAGGAAGAGGCGGUCAGAGAGAGAGAGAGAGAGAGGAAGAGGCGGUCAGAGAGAGAGAGAGAGAGAGGAAGGAGGUCAGAGAGAGAGAGAGAGGAAGAGGAGGUCAGAGAGAGAGAGAGAGGAAGAGGAAGGAAGAGGAGGUCAAAGAGAGAGAGGAAGAGGAAGGCAGAGGAGGUCAAAGAGAGAGAGAGGAAGAGAAAGGCAGAGGAGGUCAGAGAGAGAGAGAGAGGAAGAGAAAGGCAGAGGAGGUUAGAGAGAGAGAGAGGGAGGAAGAGGAGGUCAAAGAGAGAGAGGAAGAGGAAGGCAGAGGAGGUCAAAGAGAGAGAGAGAGGAAGAGAAAGGCAGAGGAGGUCAAAGAGAGAGAGAGAGGAAGAGAAAGGCAGAGGAGGUCAAAGAGAGAGAGGAAGAGGAGGUCAGAGAGAGAAAGGCAGAGGAGGUCAAAGAGAGAGAGAGAGGAAGAGAAAGGCAGAGGAGGUCAAAGAGAGAGGAAGAGAAAGGCAGAGGAGGUCAAAGAGAGAGAGGAAGAGGAAGGAAGAGGAGGUCAAAGAGAGAGAGAGAGGAAGAGGAGGUCAAAGAGAGAGAGAGAGAGGAAGAGAAAGGCAGAGGUCAAAGAGAGAGAGAGAGGAAGAGAAAGGCAGAGGAGGUAAAAGAGAGAGAGAGAGGAAGAGGAGGUCAAAGAGAGAGAGGAAGAGGAAGGAAGAGGAGGUCAAAGAGAGAGAGGAAGAGGAGG